Non-coding RNA from Carassius gibelio (silver crucian carp), 567 nucleotides. The record is from the annotation of a RefSeq genome assembly. NCBI's taxonomy places the organism in Eukaryota, Metazoa, Chordata, Actinopteri, Cypriniformes, Cyprinidae.
ACCUUUAGGGGGCACCCUAUGCAAACCUACUUCUCCGCAUUCUCUUUAAAAAGCCUCCACUCUGUUGUUUUUGACGUUGAUACUUCAGCUUCCUCUUUUCAUAACAUGACAAUGGAUAUUGUGUCUAAACUGGGUUUUAUCUUCAUGUUUGCUCUCACAGACUUCUGUUGGUGUCAAACACUGACUGAGUCUGAGUCAGUGGUCAUUAAACCUGGAGUAUCUCACAGACUCACCUGUACAUUAUCAGGAUUUAGUAGUGACCCACACUUAUCUUGGAUCAGACAGACUGCAGGAGGAGGUCUGGAGUGGCUGGGAUACAUCUCAUCUCGUGGUACUACAUACUACUCUCAGGCUGUUGAGGGACGAUUCAGCAUCUCCAGAGACAACAGCAAGAAACAGAUGUAUCUGCAGAUGAAUAAUAUGAAGAAUGAAGACACUGCUGUAUAUUAUUGUGCAAUAGAGACACACAGUGAUGAAUACAGCUACAGCACUGCACAAAAUCUGAAAGCAAACAACUCUCCAUUUCAUUUCUCAUUCCUUAAAGUGGUAUGAGAAAUGAAAUAGUGA